This 495-nucleotide ribosomal RNA is filed under the name uncultured bacterium. Its description in RNAcentral is "partial 16S ribosomal RNA". It matches the Rfam family "Bacterial small subunit ribosomal RNA", at positions 28 to 507 of the family's 1533-position model. The record is from RNAcentral.
GACGAACGCUGGCGGCGUGCCUAAUACAUGCAAGUAGAACGCUGAAGGAGGAGCUUGCUUCUCUGGCUGAGUUGCGAACGGGUGAGUAACGCGUAGGUAACCUGCCUGGUAGCGGGGGAUAACUAUUGGAAACGAUAGCUAAUACCGCAUAAUAUUAGAUGUUCCAUUACAUUUGCUUAAAAGGUGCAAUUGCAUCACUACCAUAUGGACCUGCGUUGUAUUAGCUAGUUGGUGGGGUAACGGCUCACCAAGGCGACGAUACAUAGCCGACCUGAGAGGGUGAUCGGCCACACUGGGACUGAGACACGGCCCAGACUCCUACGGGAAGGAGCAGUAGGGAAUUUUCGGCAAUGGACGGAAGGCUGAACGAGCAACGCCGCGUGAGUGAAGAAGGGUUUCGGAUCGGAAAGCUCUGUUGGAAGAGAAGAAAGAGUGGGAGAGUGGAAAGUUCACACUGUGACGGUAUCUUACCAGAAAGGGACGGCUAACUACGUG